Molecule: ribosomal RNA, 857 nt
Filed under: uncultured bacterium
Lineage: Bacteria
Description: bacterial SSU rRNA
Rfam family: Bacterial small subunit ribosomal RNA
Source: RNAcentral
GGCUCAGGAUGAACGCUAAUAGUAUGCUUAACACAUGCAAGUCUAACGGGAGAAAUUUCGUGGCGAACGGGUGAGGAUAUACAAAAAAUUACCUUUCAGUUUAGUACAAAUUUACCUUAGGUAGAAAAAUGCUAAAUAUACUAAAAAAGGUUUUAUUAUAAUUAAUAAUUCCGCUGAAAGAUAUUUUUGUUAAAGAUUAGGUUGUUGGUAAUUUAAUAGCUUACCAAGCCUACGAUCUUUAGUUGGUCUUAGAGGAUGAUCAACCACACUGGAACUGAAACAAGGUCCAGGCUGAUACGUCGGCCAGCAGUGAGGAAUAUUGGACAAUGAACGAAAGUUUGAUCCAGCAAUACUAUAUGGGUGAUGACGGCUUAUUAAGUUGUAAGAUCCUUUCAUUAAGGAAGAUAAUGACAUUACUUAAAGAAGUUUAGUCCCGGCUAAUACUCGUGCCAGCAGCCGCGGUAAUACGGGAGGGGCAAGCGUUAUCCGGCAUGACUGGGCGUAAAGAGUUCGUAGACGGUAAAGUAAGUUUCUUGUAAAAUUUUAAAACUUAAUUUUAAAACUGCAAUUUAUACUGCUUUACUUUGAGUUUAAUACAGAAAAGUAUAAUUUUAUACGGAAGGGUGAAAUCUGCAGAUAUAUAAAGGAAUGCCAAAAGCGAAGGCAACUUUUUAGUAUAAACUGACGUUGAGGAACGAAAGUGUGGGUAGCAAACAGGAUUAGAGACCCUGGUAGUCCACACCGUAAAUUCUGAGUGCUGUGAUUUAAUUACGAUUACUUUAAAAAGUAUCGUUUAGAUCUUUUAAGCUAACGCCAUAAGCACUCCGCCUGAAGAGUACGAUCGCAAGGGUGAAACU